CAACGGCCGCGGUACCCUAACCGUGCGAAGGUAGCAUAAUCACUUGUUCUUUAAAUAGGGACUAGUAUCAACGGCAUCACGAGGGUUACACUGUCUCCUUUCUCCAAUCAGUGAAACUGAUCUCCCCGUGAAGAAGCGGGGAUAUAACUAUUAGACGAGAAGACCCCAUGGAGCUUUAAGCUCAACAACAAUUUUUAUGAAAAUAAUUCCUCAUAGUAUACAGACCCUGUUUGUUAGCUUUAGGUUGGGGUGACCGCGGAGUAUAAUUUAACCUCCACAACGAAAGGGCAUAAAACCCUUAUCCAAGAGCCACUGCUCUAAGAAUCACCAAAUUGACGUAUAAUGAUCCGAUUUUCGAUCAACGGACCAAGUUACCCUGGGGAUAACAGCGCAAUCCAUUUUUAGAGCCCCUAUCGACAAA
Molecule: ribosomal RNA, 421 nt
Filed under: Amietia nutti
Lineage: Eukaryota; Metazoa; Chordata; Amphibia; Anura; Pyxicephalidae
Description: partial 16S ribosomal RNA
Rfam family: Bacterial large subunit ribosomal RNA
Source: RNAcentral